Molecule: non-coding RNA, 132 nt
Organism: Caenorhabditis elegans
Lineage: Eukaryota; Metazoa; Nematoda; Chromadorea; Rhabditida; Rhabditidae
Source: Ensembl
AGAGCAAAUGCGGGUCUGGACUAGAAGGAUGUUGACAACAGGCGGUUGCAAUUGGAUAACCCCCAGCGCUUUGGAAUCAUUGAAUAAGGGUGGGGACAAGUGACAAAACUCUGUGAUUGGGAGAAAUUCGAC